UACGUAGGGUGCGAGCGUUGUCCGGAAUUAUUGGGCGUAAAGAGCUCGUAGGCGGUUUGUCGCGUCUGCUGUGAAAACCCGAGGCUCAACCUCGGGCCUGCAGUGGGUACGGGCAGACUAGAGUGCGGUAGGGGAGAUUGGAAUUCCUGGUGUAGCGGUGGAAUGCGCAGAUAUCAGGAGGAACACCAAUGGCGAAGGCAGAUCUCUGGGCCGUAACUGACGCUGAGGAGCGAAAGCAUGGGGAGCUAACAGG
RNAcentral lists this ribosomal RNA (253 nucleotides) under uncultured bacterium. RNAcentral's name for it is "partial 16S ribosomal RNA". It matches the Rfam family "Bacterial small subunit ribosomal RNA", at positions 524 to 776 of the family's 1533-position model. The record is from RNAcentral.